CCUACGGGUGGCUGCAGUGAGGAAUAUUGGUCAAUGGGCGUAAGCCUGAACCAGCCAAGUCGCGUGAGGGAUGAAGGUUCUAUGGAUCGUAAACCUCUUUUGUAAGGGAAUAAAGUGUGGGACGUGUCCUAUUUUGUAUGUAACUUAUGAAUAAAGAUCGGCUAAAUUCGUGCCAGCCGCCGCGGUAAUAAGGAGGAUCCGAGGUUUUUCCGGAUUUAUUGGGUUUAAAGGGUGCGUAGGCGGACUUUUAAGGUAGCGGGUAAAGUCCGUGGCUCAAACAUAGAAUUGCCGUUGAAACUGGUGGGCUUGAGUAUGUGUGAGGCAGGCGGAAUGCGUGGUGUAGCGGUGAAAUGCUUAGAUAUCACGCAGAACCCCGAUUGCGAAGGCAGCCUGCCAGGCCAUGACUGACGCUGAUGCACGAAAGCGUGGGUAUCAAACAGGAUUAGAUACCCUUGUAGUC
Molecule: ribosomal RNA, 460 nt
Filed under: uncultured bacterium
Lineage: Bacteria
Description: partial 16S ribosomal RNA
Rfam family: Bacterial small subunit ribosomal RNA
Source: RNAcentral